Molecule: long non-coding RNA, 769 nt
Organism: Neltuma alba
Lineage: Eukaryota; Viridiplantae; Streptophyta; Magnoliopsida; Fabales; Fabaceae
Exons: 2
Source: RefSeq, a predicted model, not a curated record
CAUGGUAUCAGAGGCUUCUAAACUUUUCUCUUUUCUUUCCUAUCCUUGGCUUUCUUACUUUUUUCACUCUCUCUCCCCCCCUCCUUCCUUUCCUUCUGCCAUGGCUGAUGCCUCUUCUUCGUCAUCUUCUUCUUCCUCUACCAUUGAUCAAGCCAUUACUUCUAUAUCUGUCCCAGUGAGAACCCAACCCUCAUCCUGGUUGUGCCCUCUCUUGAUGGUACCAAUUACCAUAGUUAGGCACGUGUGAUGAAGAUGGCCUUAUUAUCUAAAAGCAAAGUUAAGUUUGUUGACAGUAUGAUUAGUCUACUGAUGUCCACCAAUUCUCUCUUUCCAGCAUGGGAGUGCUAUAACAACCUCAUCCAAGGCUGGCUUACGAAGUCAGAUGUGGGACAAAUCACGCUAUCUUUAGUCAAAUGUUUUUCAAAUUGUUGAUCUCCAAGAGGAGAUAUGUAGCUUGAAACAAGGAAAUGAUUGGUUUAGCUAAACUCUUUGAAGUGCUUUAUCUUCUAAAUGUAAAAAUGAUUGGUUCAACCACAACUUCUCAAAUCAGUAUGAAUUCUUCUACCCCAAAUUCUACUUUAGCUUCAAUCCUAUGGUAUCUCCUAUUGGGCCACUUUGCCAAUUCUACCUUAAUCUUACAUAAAGUUGUUUCUAAAAUUCAUUGUAUUACUCAUUCAGCUAUUUGUGAUGCUUGUCACUUUACUAAGCAAAAGUGUCUUUCCUUUCUUGUAAGCUCAAGUAUUAGCAAUAAAAUUUUUUCUUUGAUAUA